UUUUAGCUACAUUAUUGGCAUUUUAUUAUUUAAACAAAGUAGUUGACCAUUAAAAGGGUUCAAUUUAAUGUUCUAAGUGACAUAAUAAUCUUUCAACUGAAUAUACUGUCAUAUUGAAUGAGCUGCUAAAGGGCCUUGUUUCCUGAUAUAGGCUACUUCACCUGAGCUGUCAGCUUCCGAUUUUAUGUAAUUGCUAUUUUUGGAAUUUUAAAGAUGUCCGCUACCCUGUGUUGAGAAAAAUUUAAAACCUUUCAUGGUAAAAUAAGCUUCCUGGAUGUGGCACCUGUUACUGUCCCUCAUUUACUUUAAGCAUGAUCAACAAUUGUUGAUGGAUUCUGCUCAUCAUUUCUAAGAAGCACUGCCAAAAGAAAAUUUUCCAAACUUGUAAAUAAAACCUUUUCAGUUUUUUUUAAGCAGGAGAGCUGGCAUAUGGCAAUCACGAAACAAGUCUUGGAUUAAAAAUAUAUAGCCUAUUUUAGAAGAAACUUGAUUUGUAUAUAGAGGAUUUAAAAUUCAGAUGUUCAUCUUCGCUCUCAUUGUUCAGCCUUUUAAUUCUGCUACUAGUUAAUUUAUAGUACCUUUAUUCUUUUAGUGUAUCUGGAAUGACAAUUUAUCAUUAAUGGAAAAUUAAUAAAGAUGGUGGUUAAAUUUGAAGUACUCAGUUUUGUUUACCUUGAUGUCAGCUUUCCUGUGGCAGUUGAUGAGGUUCAAUAUGCUUCAGCUCUUGAAGAACUUAAGGUCCCGAAACCAAGGCAAGGAGUUUACUGACUCUGAUAUUUUAAAGUGGGCGAACAGAAAAGUGAAAAGCACGGGCAGAGCUUCUCAAAUGGAGAGCUUUAAGGUUAAAAAUUGUCAAAUUUUACUUCUUUCAUGACCAUAUAUAUACUUAUGACGGACUGUUUUAUUUCCAUAAAUAUUUUCAGGAUAAAAACCUUUCAAAUGGAUUAUUCUUUCUUGAGCUUCUCAGUGCAGUAGAACCAAGAGUUGUGAACUGGAAUCUUGUUACCAAGGGUGAAAGUGGUAUGAUUAUGUUACUCAGAAAUUCUUUUAAAAGCAAUAAGCUUCUGUUCAGGUGGACUAAACAUUUUUUGAGGGAGAAAAUAAAUUUAACACUAUUAUAUUAAGGGCUACUUGGAAGGGAUUAAACAAACCCCUGCAAUAUUAUGGACUAAUUGUGAUGAGGCUAUCGUUUAAUUGUAUAGCCAACUUUUGUUUUUCCUUUUUCUCUUUUUCUCUUUUUCUGUAGAGGUAUCUUGGCACACCUGAUGAACUACCUCGGAUACUUGAAGUCUCCUGACUCGCAAAGGACAAAGCAAUUACUGGGAUAAAUUCCGCAGGAGCAUCCCAAGGGGGAUGCAUUGCCUUCUUUGUUCCGUUCACUGUCCAUGUUUAGGGUUUAGAAGCUCCAUUGAGGUCCUACCUAGGGUUUCAGCAAUUAGAUUAACAAAAAUAAAGAUUUAGAAUUGAGGGGGAGAUUGGGCAAAAGAUAGGAGUAGGNNNNNNNNNNNNNNNNNNNNNNNNNNNNNNNNNNNNNNNNNNNNNNNNNNNNNNNNNNNNNNNNNNNNNNNNNNNNNNNNNNNNNNNNNNNNNNNNNNNNGGGGGGGGAUGCGAUCAAAUAGACUCCAACUGAGAGCUCUCAAAUCUGUUUUCUCAAAAUGUUCCCAUCAACCUGAAUAGGGUCUGCAAAAUUGACUUAUGGAUACAGGAUCUCUGUCACUGGCUAUAGAAUUUGGAAGUCCAUGAAAUCUGUGUAUCUUCUCAAACAAAAACUUGAGUCCUUGCUGAAAUAGGAUGAGUUAAAGGUAUAAAAUGAGCAUAUCUACUUAAUUUGUUAGUAACUACCCAAAUGAUCUCAAAUCCUCUAGAAUUUGGAAGACUACAAAUAAAAUCCAUGGCUAUGUCCCUCCAAAUUGCUUUAGGAAUGAAGAGGUAGCGACAAUCAUGGAACCUUAGUGGUUUCAUGCUUUGUGGCUUGGCAAAUGGAACACUCAGCUACGUAAAUUGUGAAUUUGUUUUCAUUCCAACCCGAUUGGAAUACUAUUCACUUUUCUUCAAUGCAGCCCUGGCUCCGGAGUGUCCUAUCCCUUUCUCAUGUAAUUAUUCAAAUAUCUGCUUAUUUAUGUCCCCCGUGAUGCCAAUUACCUAUCUGCCUCUGUAUUUAAGCAUCCCUUGACUUAAUUCAAAUUCAUUAGACCCCUAGUAAGUAUUCACGAGUUGCUGUUCAUAGUUCUUACUCUAUCUAAUUCGACAUCUUCCUCAAAGCUCACAAUGAUUUGUUCCAUAUGCAAUGAAAUUUGUUGCAGUUUUAGUUUAGGUUGAGUCACUAGAGCAUAUUUCAGCCCCCUGCAGGAGUAACUUCUUUCCCUUUUUUCAAAUUCUAUUUGUUAGAUUUUGGUAAUUCAAUAAACUGAUCUUAGUGCCUUAAGCCAGUUGAUUCUUAAGAUGACAUCCUAUGUUUUUAAAGGUAGCACCCACCUUAGUUUCAAACGAAAUUCCAUGCCAUUUGAAGUGCGGACAAUCGGAAUAACUCUAUGAGUCUUUCUCAUCAGGCAAUGUUAAGAAAUAGGUCCUUCAAGUUGGGUUUGGCUUCCGAACUUUUUAAUCGUUUCUUCACUUAUAAAACUAGCGGUACUGAUGGGGACGACAAGUCCAGUGCCGAAAAGAAAUUCUUAUUUUAUAAAAAAAUUAUUAUGUUUAAUUUGGAAGAAAUUGAUGCAUUUAAUUAUAUAUUUUAUUUAUUGGUGGGGGAUUUAGGAUAUUAAGACAUGUUAUAAUUAAGUUGGGGUAUUUUAGUAGUUUACUAUUUUUAUUGUUCUCCAAGUAACAUUAGGGCUUUGAGUCUCUAUAAUAGUCUAUAAUAGUGAUGUAAUCCUGACAAGAUUAUUAUUGAAUAUACCAUUGAUUAGUACUUCUAUUUUGUCCUUUUUGAGUUUUUUUAGCAAUUGAAUGAUUGUAGAAGAAUAUAAAGAAGACUGUUCGGAAUAGAAUACUAUAUUUAUUUAUAUAUUAAUGUUCUGUCAUACUCUUUCUUUUGAUUCCUAAUGCAGUAUAAUCUCAUUGCGCCAACUGAUGGAACUACUACUUACUUUUGUUGGUGAUUUGUUAGAUGACAAGAAGAAGCUGAAUGCUACUUAUAUAAUCAGUGUCGCACGGAAGCUUGGGUGCUCAAUAUUCUUGUUGUCAGAGGACAUUAUACAGGUAAGCAUUGAACUGUAACUAAGGGGGUGUUUGAUAAAAAUUGAAUCUGAAUGAAAAAAGUUGUUUGAUAAUCGACAUAUCUGAAACAUCUGAAUAACAACUUUUUAUUAUUUUACCCCUCUAAAAAAAUUCAAAAAAUUAUUUUAAAUUUAUUUCAUAUUAAUAUAAUAGUUAAUAUUGUAAAAAAAAAAAUCAUUCAGCCGCUCAUUUUGCCCAUUCAGCCAGAAAAAUGGGACUAAACCAUUCAACCCAAAUCGUCUGAAUGGCUGUUUGGUUCAGCCAUUCAGACGAUUUUUUCAAAAAACAAACGCACUGAAUGGCUGAAUCGGUCCGCCAUUCAACAAAAAACAAACAACCCCUAUAUCCUACCAACCCCAGUUUGCACGUCCGGAAGGGACCCUCUAAUUCUAUCAGUCAGAAGUUUAUGUUAAGUACUGCUUGUGUCUACGAAAACUAUUAAACCCCGAAAAAUGGUUAUGCAGAUAUAUAAAUGAAUAUAAGAAUCUGUAACAAAUAUAGUCUAAAAUAUAUAAAUAAAUGGAGGGUAGAGAUUAGACUAAAAUGGAUGGUUAGGAUUGAUUAUUCAAUGAAGUCUAUAUAAUGUUAGCUAUGUACUGAAAAUUAGGUAAUCAAUCCUAACCAUCCAUUUUAGUCUAAUCUCUACCCUCCAUUUAUUUAUAUAUUUUAGACUAUAUUUGUUACAGAAUGCAUGAUAUUAUAUUGUAAAAUUAUCUCUGUGUUUAAUGCUUAUAUCAGAUGCUUAAGUACAAAUUGUUAAAUGAUUAAAGGCCUGCAGUUGCAGUUAGCUAAACAACAGACGCCAAGUAAUGAUUGUGAUUUAUCGACUGUGAACUAUUAAAAGAGUUAAAAAUUUGAUACACUGAGACGGUGUAUACACUAGCAGUGUUAGGAUGAUGACACGUCAAUGAAAUAAGGAUAAUGAUGUCCAACAUAACUACACAAGUAGGUGCCAUAAUCUGCGUAUACACUGACACUGCGAAACUUUGAUUCACAUUAAAAUUCAUUGGCAUUUUUUUUGUGAAAUUAAAGAAAGUAUGGUGGCAAUUAAUAUGACCGUAUGAUGUUAUGUCAGGUAAACCAAAAGAUGAUCCUUAUGCUUACCGCUAGCAUCAUGUAUUGGAGCCUUCAGCAACGGGCAGACGAGUCCGAGUCAUCU
RNAcentral lists this long non-coding RNA (4375 nucleotides) under Panax ginseng (ginseng). Its description in RNAcentral is "long non-coding RNA (PGIN_LNC016265)". The record is from RNAcentral. Lineage: Eukaryota; Viridiplantae; Streptophyta; Magnoliopsida; Apiales; Araliaceae.